Dermacentor andersoni is the source of this 643-nucleotide long non-coding RNA. RefSeq lists it as uncharacterized. NCBI's taxonomy places the organism in Eukaryota, Metazoa, Arthropoda, Arachnida, Ixodida, Ixodidae. The record is from RefSeq and is a predicted model, not a curated record.
CACCUGAACAUCGCCCCCGAGUGCUCCGUGAUCGCUGCGCAUGCGUGAGGUGAGAGAAGGUGAGAAAGGAGAACAACUCUUUUUCGCAGGAUGUGACGUCACAUUGUUGCUUGUUUUUACUUUUUUGAAAGAGCUACUCUCGAACGUAGAUUAGCCAUUGCCGUCGUGUCGGCUGCAAGACGUUCUGCGCGCGCUUGGCGCGCUUUUGUGCGUGUCGAAAGCGUAUAACGUGCGCGAUAUUCGUGCGAGCGCAGUUUGACUUGAGCAAUCGUGGGUUUGGACUCCGUGACAUUUGCUUUCGUCAUAUGCGAGUUAGGGGCUUGCCGACAGGUAAACCGCCGCUGUACUUAGAUGAGUUGAGAUUUACACAUCAAUGCCAGCUCACAAAGCAUCUAAUACGGCAAUCAGCCAGCCACCUCCGCAGAUGGAGAAUUCUGCAGUUUCCAAUCAUACUGUUUCUGUUGUCUUUGGCAGAGAUUUUGAUUGUACACAGCGGGAAUAAACUGUAGGACCAUAAAAAAACUUGUGAUGACAAGGGCCAUAUAUGGUGGAAAUUAUAGUAGAUUAUGACCAGCAUUAGCUCAAGCCCUGCUAAAGGUCUGUGGUAUCUAAAAAAAUAAUAAAGUGCUGGUUUUCAUAUCUA